This 279-nucleotide ribosomal RNA is filed under the name uncultured bacterium. Its description in RNAcentral is "partial 16S ribosomal RNA". It matches the Rfam family "Bacterial small subunit ribosomal RNA", at positions 506 to 784 of the family's 1533-position model. The record is from RNAcentral.
UGCCAGCCGCCUCGGUACUACUAAUGUACCUAUCGUAGUUCGGAAUUACUGGGCUUAAAGAGUUCGUAGGUGGUUGAAAAAGUUAGUGGUGAAAUCCCAGAGCUUAACUCUGGAACUGCCAUUAAAACUUUUCAGCUAGAGUAUGAUAGAGGAAAGCAGAAUUUUUAGUGUAGAGGUGAAAUUCGUAGAUAUUAGAAAGAAUACCAAUUGCGAAGGCAGCUUUCUGGAUCAUUACUGACACUGAGGUGCGAAAGCGUGGGGAGCAAACAGGAUUAGAUA